This is a non-coding RNA of Paramuricea clavata, 1184 nucleotides long. The record is from the annotation of a GenBank genome assembly. Lineage: Eukaryota; Metazoa; Cnidaria; Anthozoa; Malacalcyonacea; Plexauridae.
AAACUUUUUGGUUUGUCGGAAAAAUUUUUCGGUUUGUCGGAAAAGUACUGCCCUUGCCCCCCCCCAAAAAAAACAUGGGCCCCACGGUGCCACUGAUUGUCAUUCUACUUCCUGUUAAAUAUUUGUUAAAACUCAGUGGUCCCGUAAUUUUUACCGAUUACGUAUGACGUCAUUGACAUCAACAAAUGUUUUCACGAUUUCAUGUUUGUCAAUAGAGCCCCCCCCCGCUUCGGUAAAUUUAGUUCUACAGCACUAUUCGUCGACUAUUCGUACUAUUCGUCGACUAUUCGCUUCACUAUUCUAGUUUUAUCAAUUGCCCUCUACAAGCAUACGCAGAGUGCCAGUUCAGUUUUCUGCCUCAAUGCAGGUACUACGUAACGUUAAAGGAACAGACGGAAAAUUAAAAUCUCUCAAAACUGAUUAUAAAAAAGCUUAGGUGAAAAAUUUACAUCAUGUUUAGCAUCCUCGACGUUCCUCACCUGACCCGAGAAAAGCCCCCGACCUUCAAAUACUUUUUAUUUUUAAAAAUCCCUCCAAGUUUAGUGUAAAAACUCUCUAAAAACCUUUCACUUGUAAAAAUGGUGAUUUUUACACUUUGUAAUUGCCUUCAAUGAAACUCAAUCUCAUUUCCAGAGUAUGCCUGUUCGCAGGUAAGGUGUUGGGCAUGAAGGCCUUCGGAUGCCAUGUUGUAAUUUUUCUGUUUUAAAUGCAGUAAUUCAUAUUAAAGUUAGUUCUGAUUAUGGUGAUGUGCUGAAUUUCCAGGAUUGUGUUUCUGAAACACCCUGUUGUAGAGUUUGUAUAGGCAAAUUUUUUUAAAAAAACUGCCAACCUGGAAAAAUUGAAAUGGGUGGAUGCUAAACAAGUAAUUUUUUAUGUGGUGUUAUCAAAACCAUUUAGAAAAUAAAGUACAAAAAAAUUUUAAAAAGUCAAAAUAACAACACCUUCAAUGUGUGUUUUUAUGUUUCAAUAAGCUCAGGGCCAUAGUGAAGAGGCUAAAGUAGGGGGGUGUAGUAUCACAUUUGCCGACAACAUUUCAGUCGCCAAUUUUAAAAUACUUCUUUUCCCAAAAUUGUUGUCAGGGGAGGUAAAAAAUUUUUCCAGACAUGCCAUUUUCCACUAACUCUCGAAUUUAUCUAAACUUUUGUUAUAACUGCUAACUAGUACUUUUUAUUCCGAGCCACUCA